AGUCACUGACAUUAGAUACCCCCGUAGUCCCAGCCGUAAACGAUGUGCGUUAGGUGUAUCGACGACCACGAGUUGUCGAGGUGCCGAAGGGAAACCGUGAAACGUACCGCCUGGGAAGUACGGUCGCAAGGCUGAAACUUAAAGGAAUUGGCGGGGAGCACCACAACAGGUGGAGCCUGCGGUUUAAUUGGACUCAACGCCGGACAUCUCACCGGAUAAGACAGCUGAAUGAUUGCCGGGCUGAAGACUCUGCAUGACUAGCUG
Molecule: ribosomal RNA, 264 nt
Filed under: uncultured archaeon
Lineage: Archaea
Description: partial 16S ribosomal RNA
Rfam family: Archaeal small subunit ribosomal RNA
Source: RNAcentral